RNAcentral lists this small nuclear RNA (103 nucleotides) under Zalophus californianus (California sea lion). Lineage: Eukaryota; Metazoa; Chordata; Mammalia; Carnivora; Otariidae. The record is from RNAcentral.
UUACUGAUCAAUUUAUCACUCUGGAAUUGGAAUGAUACCGAGAAGAUUAGCAUGGCCCCUGUGCAAGGAUGACAUGCAAAUUCAUGAGGGGUCCCAUACUUUU